RNAcentral lists this ribosomal RNA (497 nucleotides) under uncultured bacterium. Its description in RNAcentral is "partial 16S ribosomal RNA". It matches the Rfam family "Bacterial small subunit ribosomal RNA", at positions 28 to 507 of the family's 1533-position model. The record is from RNAcentral.
GACGAACGCUGGCGGCGUGCCUAAUACAUGCAAGUUGAGCGAUGAAGAUUGGUGCUUGCACCAAUUUGAAGAGCAGCGAACGGGUGAGUAACGCGUGGGGAAUCUGCCUUUGAGCGGGGGACAACAUUUGGAAACGAAUGCUAAUACCGCAUAACAACUUUAAACAUAAGUUUUAAGUUUGAAAGAUGCAAUUGCAUCACUCAAAGAUGAUCCCGCGUUGUAUUAGCUAGUUGGUGAGGUAAAGGCUCACCAAGGCGAUGAUACAUAGCCGACCUGAGAGGGUGAUCGGCCACAUUGGGACUGAGACACGGCCCAAACUCCUACGGGAGGCAGCAGUAGGGGAUCUUCGGCAAUGGACGAAAGUCUGACCGAGCAACGCCGCGUGAGUGGAGAAGGGUUUCGGAUCGUAAAACUCUGUUGGUAGAGAAGAACGUUGGUGAGAGUGGAAAGCUCAUCAAGUGACGGUAACUACCCAGAAAGGGACGGCUAACUACGUG